Molecule: non-coding RNA, 489 nt
Organism: Peromyscus eremicus (cactus mouse)
Lineage: Eukaryota; Metazoa; Chordata; Mammalia; Rodentia; Cricetidae
Source: the annotation of a RefSeq genome assembly
AUGGAGAGGAGCCUGGGAGCUGUGCUGGGGCUGCUGUGGGUGCAGGCUUGCUGUGUGAGAGGGAUGCAGGUGGAGCAAAAUCCUCCAGCCCUCAGUCUCCACGAGGGGGACAGCUCUGCUCUGAGAUGCAAUUUUUCUACCACCAUGGUGAGGGUGCAGUGGUUCCGACAGAAUCCCAGGGGCAGCCUCACCAAUCUUCUUUUCCUGACUCCAGGAACAAAGGAGAAUGGGAGGUUAAAGUCAACAUUCGAUUCCAAGGAGCGCUACAGCACCCUGCACAUCAGGAAUGCCCAGCUGGAGGACUCAGGCACCUACCUCUGUGCUGCUGAUGCACAGUGCUCCCAGCAAGCCUGCAGCCUGGCCCCAAACUGCAGCUACAGCCCUGCCCCAGGGAGACUCUGCAGGAGGCUUUGCACAGCUGAAGAAGUUCUCAUGAAGAGUACUGGGACAACUGACAAAGAUGACAAGGUUCACAGUACUGUCAGGUAG